UGACCAAAGUUAACAUGAGAAUGUCAUUUCCAAUCAGGAGGAUGUCAUCUAUGUACAAUAUGAGGAAAGUAACAGUGCUCCCACUGACCUUUUUAAAUACACACGAUUCCUCAUCGUUCUUGAUGAGACCAAACGAUUUGAUUAAAUCAUUGAAACAUGCAUUCUAAUUCUGAAAUGCUUACUUAAGCCCAUAAAUGGACCUU
RNAcentral lists this long non-coding RNA (203 nucleotides) under Elaeis guineensis (African oil palm). RNAcentral's name for it is "long non-coding RNA (EGUI_LNC031150)". Lineage: Eukaryota; Viridiplantae; Streptophyta; Magnoliopsida; Arecales; Arecaceae. The record is from RNAcentral.